AGUGAACGCUGGCGGUAGGCCUAACACAUGCAAGUCGAACGGCAGCACAGUAAGAGCUUGCUCUUACGGGUGGCGAGUGGCGGACGGGUGAGUAAUACAUCGGAAUCUACUUUUUCGUGGGGGAUAACGUAGGGAAACUUACGCUAAUACCGCAUACGACCUACGGGUGAAAGCAGGGGAUCUUCGGACCUUGCGCGAUUGUAUGAGCCGAUGUCGGAUUAGCUAGUUGGCGGGGUAAAGGCCCACCAAGGCGACGAUCCGUAGCUGGUCUGAGAGGGUGGUCAGACAGACUGGAAGUGAGACAGGGUAGAGAGACUGAAGGGGGGAAGCAGUGGAGAAUAUUAGGCAAUGGGGGAGUGAGGGAUCUAGCAAAACCGGGGAAGGGAAGAAGGAGUAAGGGUGGGAGAAGGAUGAAGGUGGGCAAGAAGAGAAGUAGGUUAAUGAGUGAAGAAUAUGACGGUAACCAAUGAAUAAGCACCGGCUAACUUCGUG
Molecule: ribosomal RNA, 492 nt
Filed under: uncultured bacterium
Lineage: Bacteria
Description: partial 16S ribosomal RNA
Rfam family: Bacterial small subunit ribosomal RNA
Source: RNAcentral